AUGUCGACGCCGUCGAGAAAGCGCCUGAUGCGGGACUUCAAGCGGCUGCAGCAUGACCCACCGGCCGGGAUCAGCGGCGCGCCGCACGACAACAACAUCAUGCUCUGGAACGCCGUCAUCUUCGGGCCGGAUGAUACGCCAUGGGACGGAGGCACGUUCAAGCUUACCUUGCAGUUUACAGAAGAUUACCCCAACAAGCCGCCAACUGUUCGUUUUGUCUCUAGGAUGUUUCACCCAAAUAUUUAUGCAGAUGGGAGCAUCUGCUUGGAUAUUCUACAGAAUCAGUGGAGCCCUAUAUAUGACGUUGCUGCCAUAUUGACUUCUAUUCAGUCCUUGCUGUGUGAUCCAAACCCCAACUCUCCAGCAAAUUCGGAAGCUGCCAGAAUGUUCAGCGAGAACAAGCGAGAGUACAACCGCAAAGUCCGCGAGAUCGUGGAGCAGAGCUGGACUGCUGACUAA
This 459-nucleotide ribosomal RNA is filed under the name Triticum aestivum (bread wheat). RNAcentral describes it as "partial small subunit ribosomal RNA". The record is from RNAcentral. Lineage: Eukaryota; Viridiplantae; Streptophyta; Magnoliopsida; Poales; Poaceae.